Long non-coding RNA from Myotis brandtii (Brandt's bat), 459 nucleotides. RefSeq lists it as uncharacterized. NCBI's taxonomy places the organism in Eukaryota, Metazoa, Chordata, Mammalia, Chiroptera, Vespertilionidae. The transcript has 3 exons. The record is from RefSeq and is a predicted model, not a curated record.
CAAAGAGCGUCGCUCUAGGUUCUUUGACUCCUAAACAACAGGGUGCACUGUGAUCUGUGAUGACAAUUAAGUGAAGUGCAAAGAAGAUGCCCCUCCCACCUACGAUAGGAGGCUUGCAGUUAUAGAAGAACAGAAGCAUAGAGCAAAGUAAGAAAAUAGCGAGAAAGUCCAGCCCUUCCCAUUCCAGAGUAUUGUGGAAAUGAGGGAAAGAUGAUGGCAAGUUCUGAUUUCACCUCUCUGGCUUCAGGCAGAAGAGUGCAUGAUGCGAGGACAUUUUAUAUAUUCUCCAACCCCACCUCAGGGCCCAUCAUCACUGGCCACUAAGACUCUUCCUGACUGUACAGGGAGGAGCCAAGGUCAGCCUUAAGAGGUUGAGGUCAUCUUCUGACUUGAAGGCUUUUGACAAGACCCACUUAUUUAUUUGUCCACAGAUAGCUCCAACCAAUUUGUCACAGAGGU